This 3607-nucleotide long non-coding RNA is filed under the name Sus scrofa (pig). RNAcentral describes it as "lncRNA (ENSSSCG00000051370.1)". The record is from RNAcentral. Lineage: Eukaryota; Metazoa; Chordata; Mammalia; Artiodactyla; Suidae.
AUGGCUGCACCUGUGGUAUAUAGACGUUCCCAGGCUAGGGGUCAAAUUGGAACCACAGCUGUAGGUCUGUGCCACAGCCAUGGCAACAUGGGAUCUGAGUCAUAUCUGUGAUCUACACUACAGCUUACAGCAACACCAGAUCCUUAACCCACUGAGUGAGGGAUUGAAUCUACGUCUUCAUGGAGACUAUGCCAGGUUCUUAGUCCACUGAGCCACAGAGAGAACUCCCUGUUUUUAAUUGUUCAUUCAAAAUUUUGUACUCAUUUUCUAAAAAAGGGAGUCUCCUCAAACUGUAUUAAGAUCCAAGCCCCAGAGAUUUGGGCUCUGUCUGUGCCUUCCUCACUACCGGCCUCUCCUUUCAGCCUCUUCUGCUGGGUCUUCCUCAUCUACCAGAUCUCCUAGUUUUUCCUCUGGCCUGUCUAUACCUAUUCUCCAGCGGAUAUCAUGCUGUCCUCACGGCUUUAAAUAUAACAUGCUGCCCACACACAAAGUGUAUCUCUAGCCCAAACUUCUCUCUAAUUUCACAUAUUCAACUACCACUUAGCCCCGCCCUUGCCUCUCUGAUUUUACCUCCUCUCACUCUCUGCUCCCAGCUGCUUGUUGGACCCUGUCAGUAUGCAUUUGCACAUGUGCUUCUCUUUGUCUGGAACACCUGUUCCCCACUGACCUAAAUGGCUUGCUCCCCACCACCUUUACGGCUUUACUUCACAGUUCCCUCAUUCGUGGGGUGUUCUCUAACCUAUUUUUUUUUUUUUUUUUGGCCGUGCCCAUGGCAUGUGGAAGUUCCGGGGCCAGAGAGCAAACCUGCACCACAGCAUGUGCCAGAUCCUUAACCCUCUGAGCCACCAGGGCACUCCCCCCUAACCUAUUUCAAUAUCAAUUCUUUUCCACAAGUCCACUUCUCCCAGUUUAUAUUCUCUCUCCACUGACCGACUAGAAUGUAAGCUUCCUGAGGGCAGGGAGUUGACUUUUUUGUUUCCUGCUGGGUUCCCAGGAAGCAGAGCAAUAUGGCAGAUACUGAGUGAAUAUCUGUUAAAUGAAUGAAUGAGUAAAAAAAUAAAAUGAAUACAUUCAUCUAAGUUUCACGAGGGCAUGGCAUUCCUAGCACCAAACACAGUCCCUGCCUUGGGUUUGGAAGACCUUCACAAGUGUUUGCUGAAUGGCUGAAUGACUUCAGGCAGAGCAGCGGAGGAGAAAUGAAGCUAGUUAAGAAAAGGGAAAUGGGGAGUUCCCGUCGUGGCUCAGUGGUUAACGAAUCCAACUAAGAACCAUGAGGUUGCGGGUUUGAUCCCUGGCCUCACUGAGUGGGCCAAGGAUCGAACCUGCAACCUCAUGGUUCCUGGUCGGAUUUGUUAACCACUGACCCAUGACGGGAAUUCCUGGGAAUACCUUUAAAUGGAAAAAUCUGGUGGACACGCUUUUAACCGAACAAUCAAACUUAAGAUCCUCAGGGAUGGGACAAUCUGCAUCACUGCUCCUGACGUGAUGCACUGAGGACCUGGCAUCACCUCUAGGAUAUCGCUGCUGCCAAAGUGUUUGGCUUGAGUCUAGAUCAGGAGGGAUCAGCUGGACAAAUUUACAGUGAGGGGAAUUUCUGCAAAACCAAUAAAAUAACUGGUCUGGACUCUUCGAAUAGAAAAAGACAUUAUUGGAAUAAUUUGGAAAAUGGGAAUAUUAAGCACAUAUCAGAAAAGAUAUGAAUUUAAUUACAUUUCCUGAAUGUGAUAACUGGCCUGUGGUUGCAUAAGAGAACAUCUUUAUUAAGAGAUAAAUGGUGAAAAAAAUAUAGCACACGCAGUAAAAUGUAAACAACUCAUGAGUCUGGGUGAAGGGAAUAUGGUGUCCUCGGCAUGUGCUUUGUUGUUGAAGUUUUGAAACUUUUCAAAAGAAAAAGGACCAAUCUUUUUUUUUUUCUUUUUACGGCUGCACCUGCAGCAUAUGGAAGUUCUCUGGCCAGGGUCACAUCAGAGCUGCAGUUGCAACCUACACCACAGCCAUGGCAACACUGGAUCUGAGCCAAAUCUGUGACCUGUGCUGCAGCUUGUGGCAACACUGGAUUCUCAACCCACUGAGUGAAGCCAGAGACUGAACCCGCAUCCUCACGGAUACUAUGUCAGGUUCUUAACCCACUGAGCCAAAACAGGAUCUUUAGAACCAAUCUUUUAAGUCCGACAGACCUUGGUUUAAAAAAGCAAAGCAAAGGAAAAAGGAGAGAGAGAGAAAAAGCAAGCAAGAGGAACAGGGGGAGAAUGAAAUAUUAGGUGCAGGCAAAGACGAUGUAAAAGGAAAAAAAAAAUCUAUCCUGUGAAGAACCGAUAUGUUAUCUCAUCUAGCUCUCAGAGAACCAUGUGGGGGUAGACAGUAUUACUCCCAUUUUCACUGAUGAGAAGCUUGCGGUCAGGAGUUUGAGGGACAGGCCCAAGAUCACACAGAAGAGGACUCAAAACUCAAGUGCAGACUCUCUCAUUGUACUGCUUGCUCCUGCCUUACUGGGAAGAUAAGACAAGUGGAUGAAGAGUCACAGCAGGGGAGGGGUGUGAAACAAAAACACAGGGCGAAAACACACGUAGGCACUCAUAGCGCAUGUGCCUAGAAAUGACAUACAUUCAAAUGCACAAAGAAAAAGUAAGAGGAGAAAAAGGCACAUAUCAGCCUAGAAAGUCAAAACAGAAGCAUGCUUCCACACACGCACAUCCCAUCGCAAAGGGAAGAUCGUUCACAUCGAUGCCUCUAAAGACUCCAGAACUGGGCUGUGUAUUCACAGACGUAACCAGGGGUGCUAUGUCACGGUCCUGCCCCUUCUAGAACAGCUAACACGAAGCUAGGGUUCAUGGCCUUGGGAUCUACCCCUGGUCUAGGGGGAAAAGGAGGGGCGAGCCCAUACUUAGGUCUAGAUGCCAUGCUUGACAAACUGGUUGAAGCAGAAGUGACUGGUAAUCACAAGAUAUUGAUGGUUAAUUUUAAAGAAGUAAUCUUCGCUUCUUCCAACUCCAAGCUGAAAGUGGAAAGGGAUGAGGGGGAAGAGGUCAAAACACUUUGGCUUCAACUUUUCAUUUGCUUUGGCAGUGAAGACCAGUGUUUUCUAAUGCAAGGAAGAUUUCCCCGAGCGAUUGCUAAAAUUCUUAAGUCUCCAAGCAUGAGAAUGCUAGUAUCAGGUGGCUUUAUAAUUUCUAGGAGCUCAGAAAAAUAUUUGCUAGAGAAUCCUAAGAAUUAAGAGUCAUGAUCCUGGCCAUCACUGGAAUGAGAACCAGACAUGACCACGGAGGUUUGGAAAAUAGCACAAGGCAGAGAUUAUAUUCUAAGCUUUACUUAGAAAGCAGGAAAUAGCCGCCCAGGAGCUGAAUCUACCAUGAUAUAAAGCCAAUGAGGGACUGAAGCUACCACAACAUGACUCUUGGACUGACGGCCUGUUUUGUGAAUUGUUUCAUAUUGCAAAAUAAAUCAUAAGCUGCUGCAGAACAUCAAAAACCAACCAACCAACCAAUCAAAAAAUCACUCAAAGCAAAAGGAAAAAGAAAGGCAACAUAUUUCCUCAAUUCAAAAACAUAUUUUUAAUGUUCACUGCGGUAGUAUUUAUAAUACUCAAGACAUGGGAGCAACCUGAAUG